UACGUAGGGUGCAAGCGUUGUCCGGAAUUACUGGGCGUAAAGUGUGCGCAGGCGGCCGAGCAAGUCGAGUGUGAAAGCCCCGAGCUUAACUUGGGAACUGCGCUCGAAACUACUUGGCUAGAGUGUGGCAGAGGGAGGUGGAAUUCCACGUGUAGCGGUGAAAUGCGUAGAGAUGUGGAGGAACACCGAUGGCGAAGGCAGCCUCCUGGGCCAACACUGACGCUCAUGCACGAAAGCGUGGGGAGCAAACAGG
RNAcentral lists this ribosomal RNA (253 nucleotides) under uncultured bacterium. RNAcentral's name for it is "partial 16S ribosomal RNA". It matches the Rfam family "Bacterial small subunit ribosomal RNA", at positions 524 to 776 of the family's 1533-position model. The record is from RNAcentral.